AACGGCAGCACGGGGGCAACCCUGGUGGCGAGUGGCGAACGGGUGAGUAAAGCAUCGGAACGUACCCAGUCGUGGGGGACAACUAGUCGAAAGAUUAGCUAAUACCGCAUGCGACCUGAGGGUGAAAGUGGGGGACCGCAAGGCCUCACGCGAUUGGAGCGGCCGAUGUCUGAUUAGCUAGUUGGUGGGGUAAAGGCCCACCGAGGCGACGAUCAGUAGCGGGUCUGAGAGGAUGAUCCGCCACACUAGGACUGAGACACGGCCCAGACUCCUACGGGAGGCAGCAGUGGGGAAUUUUGGACAAUGGGGGCAACCCUGAUCCAGCCAUGCCGCGUGCGGGAAGAAGGCCUUCGGGUUGUAAACCGCUUUCGGACGGAAAGAAAUCGCCUGGGCUAAUACCCUGGGUGGAUGACGGUACCGUAAGAAGAAGCACCGGCUAACUACGUGCCAGCAGCCGCGGUAAUACGUAGGGUGCGAGCGUUAAUCGGAAUUACUGGGCGUAAAGCGUGCGCAGGCGGUUUCUUAAGCCAGAUGUGAAAUCCCCGGGCUUAACCUGGGAACUGCAUUUGGAACUGGGAGACUAGAGUGCGUCUGAGGAGGGUGGAAUUCCACGUGUAGCACUGAAAUGCGUAGAGAUGUGGAGGAACACCGAUGGCGAAGGCAGCCCCCUGGGAUGACACUGACGCUC
Molecule: ribosomal RNA, 688 nt
Filed under: uncultured bacterium
Lineage: Bacteria
Description: bacterial SSU rRNA
Rfam family: Bacterial small subunit ribosomal RNA
Source: RNAcentral